NNNNNNNNNNNNNNNNNNNNNNNNNNNNNNNNNNNNNNNNNNNNNNNNNNNNNNNCACACACCCAGGCACUCUCACACCUGUACCCCUGUGCAUGCACAGCCCCACACACACACCCYRCMCACACCUGGGCACACUCACACCCACACCCCUGUGCACGUUCAGCCCCCCCACACACACAACCCACACAACCACACCCCUGCACACACACAGUUCCACACACACACAGUCCCACACACACCCGGGCAUGCUCACACCCACACCCCUGCACAUGCACAGCCCUGCACACACAUGGGCACACUCACACCCACGCCCCUGCGAACGCACAGCCCCCCACACUAACACCCCCACACACCUGGGCACACUCACACCUGCACCCCCACAACCCCGCACAUCUGCACAUCCUGCAGACAUGAGCACGCUCACACCCGCASCCCUGUACAUUCACACCCUGCACAUGUACACCCCACACACACCCGGGCAUGCUCACACCUGCACCCCUGCACAUGCACACCUGGGCACACUCAUACCCCACGCAUACCUGGGCACAUUCACACCCGCAUGUACACACACACAGCCCUACACACUCACACGCCGCACACACCUGGGCACGCUCACACCCACCCCUGCACACUCAUGGCCUGCACGGUAACACCCCGUGCACACCUGGGCACGCUCACACCUGCUGCUGCACAUGCACAACCCUGCACACUCACACCUGCACACACCUGGGCACGCUCACACCCCUGCACACACACAGCCCUGCACACUCACACCCUGCACACACCUGGGCACGCUCACACCCACACCCCUGCACACACACAGCCCUGCACACUCACACCCUGCACACACCUGGGCACGCUCACACCUGCACAUGUACACACACAGCCCUGCACACUCACACUCUGCACACACCUGGGCAUGCUCGCACUCACACCUGCACACACACAGCCCUGCACACUCACACCCUGCACACACCUGGGCAUGCUCACACCCACACCCCUGCGCACGCACAGCCCCAUGCACGCACACCUCGCACACACCUGGGCAGGCUCACACCCACAUCUGCACAUGCACACCUGCACACUCACACCCUGCACACACCUGGGCACACUCACAUCUGCAUUUGCACACGCACGGGCCCACGCACUCACACCCCCCACACACCUGGGCACACUCACACCCACACCUGCACACACCUGGGCACGCUCACACCCUGCACACACCUGGGCACACUCACACCCACACCUGCACACACCUGGGCAUGCUCACAGCUACGCAGGGCUAGGCACACUCACACCCGCCCCUGCACACAGCUAGACACACGCACACCUGCACCCAGCGGGGCACACCCCCACCCCUGCAGACAGCCAGGCACACUCACACUCACACCCCCACCCUGCACACCGCUGGCACCCCCCCCGCCCUGCACGAGGCUGCACUCACACUCACACUCCCCCGUGCACGCACACGGCUGCGCACCCCACACGCACUGCUGCCGCCGGCCCAGGCCCACAUCUGCACGCACACACCCUGCUCACACCCCUGCCUACACACAUCCCUGCCCACACACCCCCUGCUCACACCCGCACCUACACACACCCCUGCCCACACACCCCCUGCUCACACACACCCCUGGCCACACACACACCCACCCUCAUAGCUCUGCCCGUGCACCCCCUGCUCACACCCUGCCCGCACACCCUG
Molecule: long non-coding RNA, 1705 nt
Organism: Dromaius novaehollandiae (emu)
Lineage: Eukaryota; Metazoa; Chordata; Aves; Casuariiformes; Dromaiidae
Source: Ensembl